AAUAUACAGCCCAGUAGAAGUGC
RNAcentral lists this non-coding RNA (23 nucleotides) under Gossypium hirsutum (cotton). The record is from RNAcentral. Lineage: Eukaryota; Viridiplantae; Streptophyta; Magnoliopsida; Malvales; Malvaceae.